RNAcentral lists this ribosomal RNA (404 nucleotides) under Actinomycetes bacterium. Its description in RNAcentral is "Actinobacteria bacterium partial 16S ribosomal RNA". It matches the Rfam family "Bacterial small subunit ribosomal RNA", at positions 355 to 776 of the family's 1533-position model. The record is from RNAcentral. Lineage: Bacteria; Bacillati; Actinomycetota; Actinomycetes.
UGGGGAAUAUUGGACAAUGGGCGCAAGCCUGAUCCAGCCAUGCCGCGUGAGUGAUGAAGGCCCUAGGGUUGUAAAGCUCUUUCACCGGUGAAGAUAAUGACGGUAACCGGAGAAGAAGCCCCGGCUAACUUCGUGCCAGCAGCCGCGGUAAUACGAAGGGGGCUAGCGUUGUUCGGAUUUACUGGGCGUAAAGCGCACGUAGGCGGACUAUUAAGUCAGGGGUGAAAUCCCGGGGCUCAACCCCGGAACUGCCUUUGAUACUGGUAGUCUUGAGUACGAGAGAGGUGAGUGGAAGUCCGGGUGUAGAGGUGAAAUUCGUAGAUAUUCGGAGGAACACCAGUGGCGAAGGCGGCUCACUGGCUGGAUACUGACGCUGAGGUGCGAAAGCGUGGGGAGCAAACAGG